RNAcentral lists this ribosomal RNA (446 nucleotides) under uncultured bacterium. Its description in RNAcentral is "partial 16S ribosomal RNA". It matches the Rfam family "Bacterial small subunit ribosomal RNA", at positions 338 to 795 of the family's 1533-position model. The record is from RNAcentral.
CCUACGGGGGGCAGCAGUCGAGAAUCAUGCACAAUGGGGGAAACCCUGAUGGGGCGACGCCGCGUGGGGGAAUGAAGGUCUGCGGAUUGUAAACCCCUGUCAUGUGGGAGCAAAUGAAAAAGAUAGUACCACAAGAGGAAGAGACGGCUAAACCUGUGCCAGCAGCCGCGGUAAUACAGAGGUCUCAAGCGUUGUUCGGAAUUACUGGGCGUAAAGCGUGCGUAGGCUGUUUCGUAAGUCGUGUGUGAAAGGCGCGGGCUCAACCCGCGGACGGCACAUGAUACUGCGAGACUAGAGUAAUGGAGGGGGAACCGGAAUUCUCGGUGUAGCGGUGAAAUGCGUAGAUAUCGAGAGGAACACUCGUGGCGAAGGCGGGUUCCUGGACAUUAACUGACGCUGAGGCACGAAGGCCAGGGGAGCGAAAAGGAUUAGAUACCCGGGUAGUC